ACCAGACUCCUACGGGAGGCAGCAGUGAGGAAUAUUGGUCAAUGGAGGCAACUCUUGAACCAGCCAUGCCGUCGUGCAGGAUGACGGUCCUAUGGAUUGUAAACUGUCUUUUGUACGGGAAGAAAUGUAAUUACGUGUAAUUAUUUGACGGUACCGUAAGAAUAAGGAUCGGCUAACUCCGUGCCAGCAGCCGCGGUAAUACGGAGGAUCCGAGCGUUAUCCGGAAUUAUUGGGUUUAAAGGGUUCGUAGGCGGUUGAGUAAGUCAGUGGUGAAAUCUUAUAGCUUAACUAUAAAAUUGCCGUUGAUACUGCUUGACUUGAAUAGUAUGGAAGUAAUUAGUAAUAUGUAGUGUAGCGGUGAAAUGUCUUAGAUAUUACAUGGAAUACCAAUUGCGUAAGGCAGAUUACUACGUACUU
RNAcentral lists this ribosomal RNA (417 nucleotides) under Myroides odoratus. RNAcentral describes it as "bacterial SSU rRNA". It matches the Rfam family "Bacterial small subunit ribosomal RNA", at positions 330 to 738 of the family's 1533-position model. The record is from RNAcentral. Lineage: Bacteria; Pseudomonadati; Bacteroidota; Flavobacteriia; Flavobacteriales; Flavobacteriaceae.